This 524-nucleotide ribosomal RNA is filed under the name uncultured bacterium. Its description in RNAcentral is "partial 16S ribosomal RNA". It matches the Rfam family "Bacterial small subunit ribosomal RNA", at positions 28 to 523 of the family's 1533-position model. The record is from RNAcentral.
GACGAACGCUGGCGGCGCGCCUAAUACAUGCAAGUUGAGCGCAGGAAGCCGUCUGAACCCUUCGGGGGGACGACGGUGGAAUGAGCGGCGGACGGGUGAGUAACACGUAAAGAACCUGCCCAUAGGUCUGGGAUAACCACGAGAAAUCGGGGCUAAUACCGGAUGUGUCAGCGGACCGCAUGGUCCGCUGAUGAAAGGCGCCCCGGCGUCGCCCAUGGAUGGCUUUGCGGUGCAUUAGCUAGUUGGUGGGGUAACGGCCCACCAAGGCGACGAUGCAUAGCCGACCUGAGAGGGUGAUCGGCCACACUGGGACUGAGACACGGCCCAGACUCCUACGGGAGGCAGCAGUAGGGAAUCUUCCACAAUGGACGAAAGUCUGACGGAGCAACGCCGCGUGAACGAUGAAGGCUUUCGGGUCGUAAAGUUCUGUUGUAAGGGAAGAACAAGUGCCGCGGGCAAUGGCGGCACCUUGACGGUACCUUGCGAGAAAGCCACGGCUAACUACGUGCCAGCAGCCGCAGUAA